RNAcentral lists this ribosomal RNA (253 nucleotides) under uncultured bacterium. RNAcentral describes it as "partial 16S ribosomal RNA". It matches the Rfam family "Bacterial small subunit ribosomal RNA", at positions 524 to 776 of the family's 1533-position model. The record is from RNAcentral.
GACGAACCGUGCGAACGUUGUUCGGAAUCACUGGGCUUAAAGGGCGCGUAGGCGGCUCGCCAAGUCCGGGGUGAAAGCCUCCAGCUCAACUGGAGAAGUGCCUUGGAAACUGGCGAGCUCGAGCGAGGUAGGGGUCGUGGGAACUUCCGGUGGAGCGGUGAAAUGCGUUGAUAUUGUAAGGAACACCCGUGGCGAAAGCGGCUCACUGGGUCUUUUCUGACGCUGAUGCACGAAAGCUAGGGGAGCAAACGGG